GCGUACGCUCAACCACUGGACCACGGGGGCAUUUAAUUACCAUUAAGUAUUAUUUAUUGUAAUGGGUAAUACUGGUACUUUUUUCCCAGCAUUAAUACUACGUUUUAUGAUCGUUUUUAAACAGGCGCGCACAACGUGUUUAUAUGGAAAAAAUAGGUACUAUAAAACAGACGAUUAUUUUAAACAUAGCUAGCGAGUGGGUGUAAUAUACUAUACACCUGCCUACCCCUUUGGGGAUGCAAGCGUGAUAUUAUGUUAUGUUUUAAAAAGUACUAAUCACCUUAUCACCUUUUUACAAAUUAUGACAUUUUGCAAUGAGCCGACAAUGUUCAAUUAUAGUCAUUUGUGAAAGAUAUCAUUUGUACUUUAUCGGCGUAUAAAUACGAAUUGUAAAGGAAAUAUUGAGACAGUUCACAACAAUUCCAGUUGCCAGUAUAUCUACUGUAGCAAUAAAACAGUAGAAGCAACUUUCCGGAAGAAUGCGUCUUCUUGUAACACUAUCUAUAUUGGCUGUACUAUUCGUGGUAAGCCAAGCAAGAAAGUCGUAUAUAGAUCAUGGAUAUCCAGUGUGUGGCUGUCCGCCCUACGACGAACCAGUGUGCAGCACAGAUGGGAGGACGUACGAAAAUCAGUGCAGUUUGGACUGUGACUUUUUUUCACCUAUCAAGCCCAAAUUUGCACACAAAGGAAGAUGUUAACCCGUUUCAUCUCCGCACUUAGAACCAGUGCCGAAUUCAUACUGUCCACUCCACCUCAUCAACACCCAACCCACAUCAUUCACUUUACUCAUACCCGUUACCCACCCCAUAUCUCUCACCCACCCCAUAUCUCUCACCCACCCCAUAUCUCUCACCCACCCCAUAUCUCUCACCUACCCUAUAUCUCUCACUCACCCAUAUCUUUCGUCAAAACGAUCAUAUCCUAAUACAAUUUUCGCAGGCAA
Long non-coding RNA from Pectinophora gossypiella (pink bollworm), 943 nucleotides. RefSeq lists it as uncharacterized. Lineage: Eukaryota; Metazoa; Arthropoda; Insecta; Lepidoptera; Gelechiidae. The transcript is spliced from 4 exons. The record is from RefSeq and is a predicted model, not a curated record.